Molecule: small nuclear RNA, 206 nt
Filed under: Moschus moschiferus (Siberian musk deer)
Lineage: Eukaryota; Metazoa; Chordata; Mammalia; Artiodactyla; Moschidae
Description: U2 spliceosomal RNA (ENSMMSG00000016315.1)
Rfam family: U2 spliceosomal RNA (bases 1-112)
About the family: U2 is a small nuclear RNA (snRNA) component of the spliceosome (involved in pre-mRNA splicing). Complementary binding between U2 snRNA (in an area lying towards the 5' end but 3' to hairpin I) and the branchpoint sequence (BPS) of the intron results the bulging out of an unpaired adenosine, on the BPS, which initiates a nucleophilic attack at the intronic 5' splice site, thus starting the first of two transesterification reactions that mediate splicing.
Source: RNAcentral
AUCACUUCUUGGCAUUUUGGCUAGAAUCAAGUGUAGUUUCUGUUCUUAUCAGUUUAAUAUCUUUUCCCACUGAAAAAUGUGGCUCUGCUAUGUUGGGGCCGGAGUAAUUAAACCAGUGUUAGGAGGAAAGAAAGUGAAGUCACUCAGUCAUGUCCAACUCUUUGCGACCCCAUGGAGACCAGGUUCCUCUGUCCAUGGAAUUUUCU